UGAUUAAUUAAAUAGCUGCAGUAUUUUGACUGKAHUAAGGUAGCAUAAUCAAUAGUUUUUUAAUUGGAAGCUGGUAUGAAUGAUUUGAUAAAGUAAAUAUUGUYUCAAUUUUAAUAAAAUUAAAAUUUUUUUUUUAGUAAAAAUACUAAAAUGAUUUUAAAAGACGAGAARACCCUAUAGAUUUUUAUAUUUUUUUAUUAAAAGAAAAAUUAAAAAUAAAUUUUAUUUAAUAAAAAAUUAUUUGGUUGGGGAAAUUAUUAAAUUGAUAAAAUUUUAAUAUUUUAGAAAACAAAAAUUAUUGAAUAUUUGAUCCUAUAUUUUGGAUUAAUAGAUUAAAAUACCUUAGGGAUAACAGCGUAAUUUUUUUGGAGAGAUCAUAUUGAUAAAAAAGUUUGCGACCUCGAUGUUGAAUUAAGAUAAAAUUUUAAAGGAGAAGUUAAAAAUUUUUGG
RNAcentral lists this ribosomal RNA (450 nucleotides) under Sphecophaga vesparum. Its description in RNAcentral is "partial 16S large subunit ribosomal RNA". Lineage: Eukaryota; Metazoa; Arthropoda; Insecta; Hymenoptera; Ichneumonidae. The record is from RNAcentral.